UGAGUACGAGAUGCUACGGCAUCGAAGCAGUCUAUGUCAUACUUCCAAGAAAAGCUUGCAAUGUCAUAAACAAAUAAUGCCUGUACCAUAACCGAUACAGGUGGGUAGGUAGAGUAUACUAAGGGGCGCGAGAUAACUCUCUCUAAGGAACUCGGCAAAAUGACUCCGUAACUUCGGGAGAAGGAGUGCCUUAUUUUUAUAAGGUUGCAAUAACAAGAUCCAAGCAACUGUUUACCAAAAACACAGGUCUCCGCUAAGUCGUAAGACGAUGUAUGGGGGCUGACGCCUGCCCAGUGCCAGAAGGUUAAAGAAGUUGGUUAGCAUUAGCGAAGCUGAUAACUGAAGCCCUGGUGAACGGCGGCCGUAACUAUAACGGUCCUAAGGUAGCGAAAUUCCUUGUCGGGUAAGUUCCGACCCGCACGAAAGGCGUAAUGAUUUGGAUACUGUCUCGGAGAGGGGCUCGGUGAAAUAGACUUGUCUGUGAAGAUGCGGACUACCUGCACCUGGACAGAAAGACCCUAUGAAGCUUUACUGUAACUUGAGAUUGAAAUUGGACUUUAUCUGCGCAGUAUAGGUGGGAGACGUUGAAAAUAUUCUUGCGGGAAUAUUGGAGUCAUCAGUGAGAUACCACUCUUAUAAUGUUAGAUUUCUAACUUUGUAUCAUUAUCUGGUCAAAGAACAGUUUCAGGCGGGCAGUUUGACUGGGGCGGUCGCCUCCCAAACGGUAACGGAGGCGCACAAAGGUUUCCUCUGAACGUGUAGAAAUCGUAUCUAGAGUGUAAAGGCAUAAGGAAGCUUGACUGUGAGACCUACAAGUCGAGCAGGGACGAAAGUCGGUCUUAGUGAUCUGACGGUGCUGAGUGGAAAGGCCGUCACUCAACGGAUAAAAGUUACUCUAGGAUAACAGGCUGAUCUCCCCCAAGAGUUCACAUCGACGGGGAGGUUUGGCACCUCGAUGUCGGCUCAUCGCAUCCUGGGGCGGUAGUACGUCCCAAGGGUUGGGCUGUUCGCCCAUGAAAGCGGUACGCGAGCUGGGUUCAGAACGUCGUGAGACAGUUCGGUCCAUAUCCGGUGUAGGCGUUAGAAUAUUGAGAGGAGCCUUCUUUAGUACGAGAGGACCGAGAAGGACAUACCUCUGGUGUACUGUUAUCGUGCCAACGGUAAACGCUGGGUAGCCAUGUAUGGAGAGGAUAACCGCUGAAAGCAUCUAAGUGGGAAGCCCACCUCAAGAUAAG
RNAcentral lists this ribosomal RNA (1235 nucleotides) under metagenome. RNAcentral's name for it is "bacterial LSU rRNA". It matches the Rfam family "Bacterial large subunit ribosomal RNA", at positions 1564 to 2808 of the family's 2925-position model. The record is from RNAcentral.